Molecule: long non-coding RNA, 1483 nt
Filed under: Phoenix dactylifera (date palm)
Lineage: Eukaryota; Viridiplantae; Streptophyta; Magnoliopsida; Arecales; Arecaceae
Description: long non-coding RNA (PDAC_LNC009585)
Source: RNAcentral
ACGUGGAUCCCUGAUUUCUUCUCCCGUUCGAAUCAAGCCGAGUCCCAACUUCAUAUUUCGAUCACUCCCUUCCACAUCCCCUGCUCCGCUAUAUCUCAACUGCCAACCUUCAAAUCCCAAGCCUCCCAGCCGUCCGCCAUGCCCAAUCCUCCCGUGAUGCAUGCAAGAGAUCGCAACAUCCCAGCUUGCAAAACUGAGCCAGCUCGUUCAUUCCAUCUUCCCCAACUUCCGGAUGAGAUCCACUUGUGUCACAGCAUGUAUUCCAUACUUUCUCUUCCAAAUCCGAACCAGCUUGAUCUCUAGCAUCCACGGAUUAGAACUCCCCUUUCGGAUUAACUCCCAGCCAUCCCCUGCUUCAAAACUAUCAUCCUUAUCUUCUUCCGAACCAAAUCCAACGCCUUCCCAGCAUUCGGAUUGACCCCAGCCACGGGAACAGAACCAGGAUCUUCUCAACGUCCACGCCAUCAUCAGCAUCCUCAGAUCAAGCCAACCUACGCGUUUGUUCCCAGCAUCCGAGCUUCACGUGCUCCUCCCCUGUUUCGGAACAAAUCCCAGCCGAAUCCAAACCCCUCCCGUGAUUCAACCCAGCGACAGCAUUCAACCAUCUCCGCAUGCAUCCCAUCAUCCCUUCAUCUCGGGUCAAGCCAACAAAUGCAUCCUUAUCCCAUGGCCAGCCGUUCCCAAGCUUCCAAGCAAGCUUCAUCUAAACUGUCAAUCGAAUCCAAGCUUAUCCCCUGUUCCCAGGCGCUCCCAGCCGAAUCUAGAACCCAUCCUCUCUCCAUUCCGUGGAUUGUGUUUUCAAGCCUUCUUCCGUUCAGCUUCCGCUAGCCCGGAUAAGCUCGAAUCUCCCGCAUCCUUAUUCCUUCCGUAUUCAAAGUUCCAGCUUACCUCCCCUUCAAGCCAUCUUAUCUUCAUCACGAAUCAAGCCAAGUUAUAUCCCAGAUCGUUCCCAACCGACUGCCUCCACCCAGUAGGCCGAGAUCCUCUCAUGUCUCCGUUCCCAGUUCAUUCCCAUCUCCACGGAUAAGCUCCCAGCCAACUCAUCUUUGCCGGAUCUCCUGUUACAACAAAACAAAACAUGAGAUUAUCCUCACAGGUUGUUCAAACGAUCGGGACUAGAGCCAGCAGAGAUCUCGCAGCUUCAUCCAGCUUCAAUCUAUCCUUAUCUCGACGUGAAAUAAGAAGGAGGAGAGAGAGGGAUGGCAGCCUAUAAAAGGCCCAGGCAUGAAACAGGGGAGGCAACUUCGGGUGGGGGGGGGGGGGGGUUCCACAUAUCUUCACAAGCUUGGUUCCGAGGCCGAAGUGCUUCUUAGGUUGAGUUCCUACAAGAUAAAGGAGGGAGAGAAUACUUUGGGUCUUUUUGGGAAUGAUUUCUCAAAAGAAAAAAAUAAUGAAUUGCUAGACAAGGAAGGAGAGACCCAGGGAAGGGAGGAAGAAAAGAAGAAAUGGGAGCCCGCUGCUGUGCCACUGCUGCUGUCGCCCA